AAUUCUCAAAAGCCUUUUUCUGCUUUCGCUGGAAAGGGUUUUUGGACUUGGAGGUUCAAUGCUUGCUUCUCCUUUGAAAGCAAGCUCCUCUCAAAUGAAUUAGUGGGGUCUGCUUUGCCGAUCCUUGACGUGAUAAGAUGUUUCUACGUUUUGGAUUUGGCACUGUCCCUUUGGACGCCUGCUCCUAACUGUCCCACGGACAACGAUGGUGCUCUGGUCUUUGCCGUCUACGCUGGCGGGGGAGGCUGGACCCACGAAAGAAAA
Molecule: unclassified non-coding RNA, 264 nt
Filed under: uncultured Russula
Lineage: Eukaryota; Fungi; Basidiomycota; Agaricomycetes; Russulales; Russulaceae
Description: sequence contains ITS2
Source: RNAcentral